This 268-nucleotide ribosomal RNA is filed under the name Tubulariidae sp. 15J. RNAcentral describes it as "partial 16S ribosomal RNA". Lineage: Eukaryota; Metazoa; Cnidaria; Hydrozoa; Anthoathecata; Tubulariidae. The record is from RNAcentral.
AAAUUAAUUUAAAUAAAAUUAAACGGANGCAGUAUCUUGACUGUGGUAAUGUAGCAUAAUCAUUUGCCAUUUAAUUGGUGGAUAGUAUGAAUGGUUAAACGAAUCCUUCACUGUUUUAAGAAAAAAAUUUAUAAAAUUGAAAUAAUACUUAAGAUGCUAUUUAAAAUUGUAAGACGAAAAGACCCUAUAGAGCUUAACUAAAAUUUUUUUCAGAUAUAAUAGUUAAAAAACUUUUAAAAGAAAAGUUUGGUAGUUUAGUUGGGGCGAC